AUUGAACGCUGGCGGCAGGCCUAACACAUGCAAGUCGAACGGUAGCACAGAGAGCUUGCUCUCGGGUGACGAGUGGCGGACGGGUGAGUAAUGUCUGGGAAACUGCCUAAUGGAGGGGGAUAACUACUGGAAACGGUAGCUAAUACCGCAUAACGUCGCAAGACCAAAGAGGGGGACCUUCGGGCCUCUUGCCAUCAGAUGUGCCCAGAUGGGAUUAGCUAGUAGGUGGGGUAACGGCUCACCAAGGCGAUGAUCGAUAGCUGGUUUGAGAGGAUGAUCAGCCACACUGGGACUGAGACACGGCCCAGACUCCUACGGGAGGCAGCAGUGGGGAAUAUUGGACAAUGGGGGAAACCCUGAUCCAGCAAUGCCGCGUGUGUGAAGAAGGUCUUCGGAUUGUAAAGUAUUUUCAGCGGGGAGGAAGGCGAUAAGGUUAAUAACCUUGUCGAUUGACGUUACCCGCAGAAGAAGCACCGGCUAACUCCGUGC
Molecule: ribosomal RNA, 489 nt
Filed under: uncultured bacterium
Lineage: Bacteria
Description: bacterial SSU rRNA
Rfam family: Bacterial small subunit ribosomal RNA
Source: RNAcentral